AACGCACAUUGCGCCCGCCAGCAUUCUGGCGGGCAUGCCUGUCCGAGCGUCAUUUCAACCAUCAAGCCCCCCCCGGCUUGUGUUGGGGUCCUGCGGCCGCCCGCAGGCCCCGAAAUCCAGUGGCGGGCUCGCUAGCAGCACCGAGCGCAGUAGGCAAUGCACCUCGCUCAGGUGGCGCGGCGGUCCCCGGCCGUUAAAAAACCCCCACACCAAAGGUUGACCUCGGAUCAGGUAGGAAUACCCGCUGAACUUAA
This 254-nucleotide unclassified non-coding RNA is filed under the name uncultured fungus. Its description in RNAcentral is "partial contains 5.8S ribosomal RNA, internal transcribed spacer 2, and large subunit ribosomal RNA". The record is from RNAcentral. Lineage: Eukaryota; Fungi.